Long non-coding RNA from Tyto alba (common barn owl), 892 nucleotides. RefSeq lists it as uncharacterized. The transcript is spliced from 3 exons. Lineage: Eukaryota; Metazoa; Chordata; Aves; Strigiformes; Tytonidae. The record is from RefSeq and is a predicted model, not a curated record.
UCCAAAUGCCAGGGAUGCUGGACUUCACUGCAGACUCUCCAACACUUUCCCAACAGAUUAUGUUCCACCACAUGUCCCUCGAUCUCAGUCUCUACCACAGACUGUGUCAUGCCACCAGGAACGGCAGCAAGCCCCGUUGCUUUGGCAUUCCCCAGACCCUGCUAAGGAAGUUUUUGGACAUACUGGCAGCCUCCGAUGACACUUCCAGUGAUACACAGACCCCAGACAGAGUUUGUGGAUUCUUAUUUGAGUUUCUGAGGAACACGCUCAUAAAUGUUAUGUGCUGCUGGCCACUUAUUAAUAUCUACUUUAACUGGGUUUUUUCUAGCAUUCCUGUAUCAGAUUGAGUAAUGUAGUAUCAGCCCAAUAUUGAAUCAAAAGUAUGAAGGAGGCGGAAAAAGAUGGGAUGCGGAAGAAAAAUGACAUUUUUUUUUUUUUAAUUUGAACCAGAUCCGGUUCGUAGCAGAACAGAGCUGCGAAAGCAACUACUGAGUUGUGGAAAGCUGCUAACGCUGUGAGGGUGAGCCGUGGAUUACCAGAAGCCAGGUCUGCUGCUGCAGAAGUCCAGCCCGAGGACUGCCUUCCGAGCUUGCCCCCUGCAGCGGCGAAGGCAGCGAGGUCCAGCGUCAGGAGGAGGGGACCCCUUUGGUGCCUGCACGCCCCAGCCUGCUGCAGGGAUGAAGGGCUGAACACAUUGCCUGCUGCGGAAGAAGAAGAAGACAACCCAUCCACAGUGAAGUGCACAUCUGGAAUAAGGACAAGGACCAGGACAAAUAUGGUGUGUUGCUUUUCUGAUGCUUUAUAAAUUUCCAUCUACUUCUCUUCUAUUAACUUCACAGUAAAAAGUUAUGCUUUGUUAAUAUAGACGAAUGUGAUUUUAUUUGAACUUUUC